UUUCUGGUCUCCCGCACCCCAACUUUAUGGUCUCGGUCUCCUGGGGAAGCUAAAGAACAGAAGGCAGAGUGGUUUCUUGGUCUCCCGGUACUGAGAGCCCUCUGGGAAGUGGGCGAUGGGAGAGAUGCUAAUCACCACAGAUCGCUGCUGCUCCAGGCUGAAGGUCAGGAGCACUCGGGAAGUAUGACAAGUAGAAGACUGAAGUUCAGUGCCAUCCUUGACUAUAUACAGAGUUUGAAGCUACCUGGACUACAUGAAACCUUGGCUCAAAAACAAACAAAAAGGACCCCUCAAGUCAGCGCUCACCACCACCAAAAAAGCUCAUCAAAAACUCAUCUCACUGACAACUCUUACAGCAAUACGAAAACUUCCCAGUGAGUGUGCGACAUUUCAGCACCGAGGAUAAAAAUAUCAAAGGGCAAAUGCCCCUGGAAAGUGUGCCACGUGCUCCUGAGUCCCCAGCUCCCCUAGGAACCAAGAUUGCAUCCCCACUCCAGGGUCCUGUCUCCAUAGCUUUCAACACGCUGUGGGGAUGCAGCCAUGUUAUCUGAAUUUCCACACGUUCCCCUUGCCUCAGCAUCUGGAGGGAGCCCCAGUGUGCACAGGUGGGGAGACAGCUCAAGCAGUGGAGGAGCUUCUCGACAGUCAUUAGCGAACUGGAUUCCCAAUGUUGUCCUUUGACUUCCCCGUGAAUGCUUUGGCGUACACACACCACUGAAAUA
Molecule: long non-coding RNA, 722 nt
Organism: Chionomys nivalis (European snow vole)
Lineage: Eukaryota; Metazoa; Chordata; Mammalia; Rodentia; Cricetidae
Exons: 5
Source: RefSeq, a predicted model, not a curated record